Molecule: ribosomal RNA, 649 nt
Filed under: uncultured bacterium
Lineage: Bacteria
Description: bacterial SSU rRNA
Rfam family: Bacterial small subunit ribosomal RNA
Source: RNAcentral
GAGUUUGAUCCUGGCUCAGGAUGAACGCUGGCGGCGUGCCUAAUACAUGCAAGUCGAACGAAACUUCUUUAUCACCGAGUGCUUGCACUCACCGAUAAAGAGUUGAGUGGCGAACGGGUGAGUAACACGUGGGCAACCUGCCCAAAAGAGGGGGAUAACACUUGGAAACAGGUGCUAAUACCGCAUAACCAUAGUUACCGCAUGGUAACUAUGUAAAAGGUGGCUAUGCUACCGCUUUUGGAUGGGCCCGCGGCGCAUUAGCUAGUUGGUGGGGUAAAGGCUUACCAAGGCAAUGAUGCGUAGCCGAACUGAGAGGUUGAUCGGCCACAUUGGGACUGAGACACGGCCCAAACUCCUACGGGAGGCAGCAGUAGGGAAUCUUCCACAAUGGGCGAAAGCCUGAUGGAGCAACGCCGCGUGGGUGAAGAAGGUCUUCGGAUCGUAAAACCCUGUUGUUAGAGAAGAAAGUGCGUGAGAGUAACUGUUCACGUUUCGACGGUAUCUAACCAGAAAGCCACGGCUAACUACGUGCCAGCAGCCGCGGUAAUACGUAGGUGGCAAGCGUUAUCCGGAUUUAUUGGGCGUAAAGGGAACGCAGGCGGUCUUUUAAGUCUGAUGUGAAAGCCUUCGGCUUAACCGGAGUAGUGCA